RNAcentral lists this transfer RNA (68 nucleotides) under Lacticaseibacillus rhamnosus. Its description in RNAcentral is "tRNA-Asn". The stretch from base 5 to 60 matches the Rfam family "tRNA", at positions 9 to 63 of the family's 71-position model. From Rfam's summary of the family: Transfer RNA (tRNA) molecules are approximately 80 nucleotides in length. Lineage: Bacteria; Bacillati; Bacillota; Bacilli; Lactobacillales; Lactobacillaceae. The record is from RNAcentral.
GUGCGGCGUAGUGGUAGCGCUGCCGGCUGUUAACCGGACGGUCCCUGGUUCGAAUCCAGGUCGGGAUA